CAAUAGCGUAUAUUUAAGUUGUUGCAGUUAAAAAGCUCGUAGUUGGAUUUCUGGGAGGGUGCCAAUGUCCGCCGACGUGCGUGCGCAGCGGCGCCCUUCCAUCCUUCUGUUAACGCCUCUUGGCAUUCAUUUGCUGGUGGCGGGCUCAGAUAUUUUACCUUGAGAAAAUUAGAGUGUUUCAGGCAGGCUAGGCCGGAAUACAUUAGCAUGGAAUAAUGGAAUAGGACUACGGUCUCUUUGUUGGUUUGAGGGACUGCAGUAAUGAUUAAUAGGGAUAGUUGGGGGCAUUAGUAUUUAAUUGUCAGAGGUGGAAUUCUCGGAUUUGUUAAAGACUAACUUAUGCGAAAGCAUUUGCCAAGGAUGUUUUCAUUAA
Molecule: ribosomal RNA, 373 nt
Filed under: uncultured eukaryote
Lineage: Eukaryota
Description: partial 18S ribosomal RNA
Rfam family: Eukaryotic small subunit ribosomal RNA
Source: RNAcentral